GAUGAACGCUGGCGGCGUGCCUAAUACAUGCAAGUCGAACGGGGAGUCGCAAUACUCUUAGUGGCGAACGGGUGAGUAACGCGUUGGUACCUGCCCCGAAGCGGGGGAUAACGGACCGAAAUGUCCGCUAAUACCCCAUGUGCUCGGUAACGAGUAAAGGUGAAAACCACUUUGGGAGGGGCCUGCGUCCCAUCAGCUAGUUGGUAAGUUAACGGCUUACCAAGGCGAUGACGGGUAGGGGACCUGAGAGGGUGGCCCCCCACAAGGGAACUGAAACACGGUCCCGACUCCUCCGGGUGGCGGCAGUAGGGAAUAUUGGUAAUGGGCGCAAGCCUGAACCAGCAUCGCCGCGUGUGCGAUGACGGCCUUCGGGUUGUAAAGCACUUUUGACUGAGACGAGGAAGGACGGUACCGGUCGAAUCAGCCUCGGCUAACUACGUG
Molecule: ribosomal RNA, 441 nt
Filed under: uncultured bacterium
Lineage: Bacteria
Description: partial 16S ribosomal RNA
Rfam family: Bacterial small subunit ribosomal RNA
Source: RNAcentral